This 340-nucleotide long non-coding RNA is filed under the name Capsella rubella. RNAcentral's name for it is "long non-coding RNA (CRUB_LNC003560)". The record is from RNAcentral. Lineage: Eukaryota; Viridiplantae; Streptophyta; Magnoliopsida; Brassicales; Brassicaceae.
AAAUCAGUAUUUAGGAACGUGCUCCACUAAUUUAAGCAAUAUAUAUAAAGUAAUGAAACUCAAUAAAUUUUUUAACCAAGCAAAAAUAAGUCCUUAAAAAAAACAAACCAGAAACACACCAAAGUUAAAAAAAAUAAAAUAAAAUAACGUCCAUCCGCUACCUCUCCGACUCGCCUCUCCGUCAUCGCCUCUUAUGGCUUCCUCCAACAACACCCCAUUACUAGUAUAAUUUGGGAUUGUCCUGUACCUCUGCAUUUUGAUUAUGUCCCGUCCUCGUAUCAGUUGGAUCUAGAUUAUGUCUUGUCCUCUUUAUUACCAUCUCAUGUUUUAAAUAAUGUCC